Molecule: ribosomal RNA, 428 nt
Filed under: uncultured archaeon
Lineage: Archaea
Description: bacterial SSU rRNA
Rfam family: Archaeal small subunit ribosomal RNA
Source: RNAcentral
UACCAGCUCUCCGAGUUGUAGGGACGAUUAUUGGGCUUAAAGCGUCCGUAGCUGGCUUAGCAAGUCUCCUGUUAAAUUCAGCGACCUAAUCGUUGAGCCGCGGGAGAUACUACUAGGCUAGGAGGCGGGAGAGGUCGACGGUACUUUCGGGGUAGGGGUGAAAUCCUAUAAUCCCGGGAGGACCACCAGUGGCGAAGGCUGUCGACUAGAACGCGCUAGACGGUGAGGGACGAAAGCUGGGGUAGCGAACCGGAUUAGAUACCCGGGUAGUCCCAGCUGUAACUAUGCGGGCUAGGUGUUGGGGUGGCUACGGGCCACUUCAGUGCCGCAGGAAAGCCAUUAAGCCCGCCGCCUGGGGAGUACGGCCGCAAGGCUGAAACUUAAAGGAAUUGGCGGGGGAGCACCACAAGGGGUGAAGCUUGCGGUUU